UACGUAGGGUGCAAGCGUUAUCCGGAAUUAUUGGGCGUAAAAGAGCUCGUAGGCGGUUUGUUGCGUCGGCUGUGAAAUCCCGAGGCUCAACCUCGGGUCUGCAGUCGAUACGAGCAAACUAGAGUGUUGCAGGGGAGACUGGAAUUCCUGGUGUAGCGGUGAAAUGCGCAGAUAUCAGGAGGAACACCGGUGGCGAAGGCGGGUCUCUGGGCAACAACUGACGCUGAGGAGCGAAAGCGUGGGAGCGAACAGG
Molecule: ribosomal RNA, 253 nt
Filed under: uncultured bacterium
Lineage: Bacteria
Description: partial 16S ribosomal RNA
Rfam family: Bacterial small subunit ribosomal RNA
Source: RNAcentral